UUGAAAGGGAAACGAUUGAAGUCAGUCGUGCUGGCGCGAAAUCAACCUUCUCGUCUUGAGAUCACAUGGCGUGGCGAGCCUCAAAACCGUCACGAAGCGUGAACUCUUGGUGAAAUGGAGCACUUUCGUGUCCGCUGGUUAACAUCAAUUUCGAACGUCAUAAAAAGGCUGGAGGGAUGUGGCUCCUUCGGGAGUGUUAUAACCUUUAGCGGAAUGUGGUGUUCGGGAUUGAGGAUUGCAACGAAUACCUUUAGGGCUGUUCCACCUGGCUUCUCUUUGGUAUCCUGGUGACGACAGCUUGCUGACGUCGUUAGGAUUCGCCUUUGAACAGGCUAGAGUGUGGGCAAAUUCGUUAAGGAUGUUGACGUA
This 369-nucleotide ribosomal RNA is filed under the name uncultured Glomeromycotina. RNAcentral's name for it is "LSU rRNA". The record is from RNAcentral. Lineage: Eukaryota; Fungi; Glomeromycota.